ACAAUUUUCCGAACUUUCUGGUUGGUUUCUACUGUCCGAUAUUGUAGCACGCUAACUUUGUUUGGGCUCCUGAACGACACGGGGGAGCAGCGUCUGCCUCACAACCAAUCAGGUUAGAGGAGGUGGAGAACGGCUUUGUUUAAAAUCAUCUACUCAAUCAACUACUAUUUGUGCGAAUCUAGACGUUUGAAUAGUAUUUACUCGCUUCAUUCGCGCGUCAACAGUAAUUUCAACGGUGAUCUCUGCAAGGUCAACCGGCGAGAUCAAGUGAUAGACUAAGAUGUGUUGUGUUGAUAAGUUAUCGCGACGCAACAUUUUUAGCUUCUGCCUAAUUUGCGCCAUUCGGGCCGCCAGAGUCGUAGGAGCAUCUAAUCGCGUCUUUGCAUUGACUUAACAUGUAAUUCAUUCGCGCGAGUAAAAUCACUCGCGCGAAUGAAUUACAUGUUAAGUCAAUGCAAAGACACGAUUGGUGUAUGGAGACAGACAGAUUGAGCACGCUGUUGAAAAAUGUUCAAAUGUUGACGACACAGACAUAACAGAACACAGAGAUAUCGAUAUAUUACCAAAUGUCAUCAAUAACUGAUAACUAUUGACUGAUAUUAACAGCUGCUUUGUAUAAACACCACAAAUAAAGGUGCUUCUUUAAAGAAAUACUGCCUCCCCACCUUUAAGCCAAAAAUAAACCUAAACAAAAAUAAUGACUGUUAAUUUUGUUUCAUAUCCAGACAAAGAUAAGACGUACUUUAACGUCCCCUCAGGGAAAGUGGACUCCUCUGUCCUCACAGAGACUCUCAGAUAUUCAGCGUCUCCUCCUUCCUGUUAGACAAAUAAAGUCAUUAACGUGUAUGUCGACUUUUAUGUGCAUUGACACCAUUUGCUUUUAAAUGCAUGUGUGUACAUACGAGUGUCCGAGUCUAUAGUUGUGUUCAUUAACCUUGUUGUUGUUGUAUAGAAAGACAGACAGGCGGACAGACAGGCGGGCGGACAGCAGCUUCACUCAGUCAACUCAGGUGGAAACAGAUCUCCUCCCUCUGCAGACACGACAGGAAACUCCUGGAAGAAACGAAAUGUCGACUUUAAUUUCUCAGCAGAGACGAACUCAGACAGUCGUUGUUUAACUCUCAUGUCUGAUUGGAGCUGAAGCAAAAAUAUAAAAUAAACCCUCUAUAAUGAACCUUUGAGUUACACAGACAUGUCGUUCUCUGACUGAGUAACUUCUGUUCCUUUCUGAGCUGUCUCUAGCCGCUGCAUGCCUCCUCCUCUUCAUAUCCCGUUUCUCCUCGGCUGUCCUCCCAAAUAAAAGCAAAAACCCAAAAAUAAUCCAAGAGUUCUUUUGAGGAACUUUUCAUGGACCAGUUUUUCCUCGCUGACUGUUGUGCAAUAAGUGUUUAUCUCAUACUUCUCUCUUUUUACUCAUCAAGAAUCCAACAUCUCCUCCUCACUCGUACAGAUCUCUGUGUUUGUUUUUCUUCUUCUGAUUUUCUCCAUUUUUCGUCUGCAUCUUUAACUCCAGUGUAACAGUUCAAUGAUUAUUAUUGUCUACUGACUAUUUCAGGAACCAUAUUUACAUAUUUAAAACAAAAUCGUGAUACUUAUAUGAAUCGAUUUUUUUCUCCCACCCCUAUUAAUCACUAUUUCAAACACGUAUACAAAUGUUUUCUUCUAUUUCUACCAAAUCACUCCUGCUAAACACUGAAAAACUCCACAGACUGUCCCUUUAAUUACUCUCUCUGCUGCAGGUGAAGCUGAUGUAGUCUGUAGAAGUUAAAAACACGACACUUUAACAUCCUUUCUGCCCCUAUUAGCAAAAGAUCAUCACAAAAUACAACAACACAACAAACACCCACGACUACAUCAUCUUUAUAUUCUUUAUAAUUGUGAUUAAUUACGACUGGAAACCCUUAAAACAACAGGAUGGAGUAUCAGACUCGGGUUUGACACCUCACACCACACACACACACACACAUCUAAAUGUCAAACACUGCGGUGUGUGUGAGCAGCAUUGAAACACACAGUGACAGCCACCUGCAGCAGUCAGUUCCGUUUGUCUGCUCUUAUCAGGGUGAAUAUCACAGCCGCCUUCAGCUUCACACUCAUUGUUGCUCAAUCGGCUGCUCUGCGCUGCAGCAGAUACCAGGGUUAAAAAAAAAGAGACAGGGACGCUGUGCCAGUCUUUAAAUGACAGAACAGAAAUAAAACCAUCGACCUCUGCUGUCUGAGAAUUUGGCGGGUAAGGUGAGUCAAAGUUCAGGUGGAGGGACGGAGCAGAAAUGUACAGCGUGUCCUGGAGUUUGUGGGCAGUACGGGACUCUUUGCCGUGUUUUAUGACUUGUUUAUGUGCUCUGGUUGAUGUGUAUGAGGGCGGUUAAAAGAGAACAUUGGGUAUCAGCACACACACACAUACACACACAUACACACACUUACACACACAUAAAUACACACAUACAUACAGUCCUGACUGAUCUGUAGAGGUAAACUGCAGACGACAGCUCAGUUACAGGAGCUCUUGUCAGAUCUGCACAUGCUCCUACCUGCGCUGACUUUUCCACUGUUACAGGUGUGAUAGACAGGUAUCUGUUACAGAAGCAUCUUUAUUUGUGAUUUAUUUACAAAAAAUCUUAAAACGUCAGUCAAUAGUUAUUAGUUAUUGAUGACACUUGGGAAUUUAACGAUAUCUCUGUGUUUUGUUAUGUCUGUUGUUUCGCCCCACCCAAAGGCAGCCCUAUGGGGCAAACAACUAUCCUCACCUAUCGACCCACUGAAUUAACAAAACACCUUCAAACGUUUUACAAGUGAUCUAUUGUGACAAAAUAACAAAAUUACAAACUAAACACAAAGAACCCACAACACAGCAGUUCCUUCUCCAUCUACCUCUGCAGACUGGAGACAGCUCUGCAUCGUUAAAGUCUCAGCACCAGGUGAGUCUGAUUGUCACUCAGUGACUUCACCUGGGCAGCUAUGAGGAGACAAAAGGGGGAAACACACAAAACACACACACCUAAAACACACAGCUGUAACACUGUGUCGUCAACAUUUGAACAUUUUUGAGCGGUCCGCUCUUUCUGACUGUAAACAAAGCCGUUCUCCACCUCCUCUAACCUGAUUGGUUGUGAGGCAGACGCUGCUCCCCCGUGUCGUUCAGGAGCCCAAACAAAGUUAGCGUGCUACAAUAUCGGACAGUAGAAACCAAGCAGAAAGUUCGGAAAAUUGUCUGAAUCCUCCUUUGGCCACGACUGCCGACACAAGCAAGAAAACAAAGUAAAUACCGGAGACUCUGGAGGAAUAACGGGCGCUUAAAACGGAGGUAGACCGGACAAGAGCUAAAAAGACGGACAAGUCGUUCAAGAAAUCCCUGUUUGUGUCUCUGGACUCAUGGAUGCUCUGGUGGUUUUUAAAUGUGACGAAUAAAGACGUUUUGGUAACGCCCCCACAGUCAGGACAUGAGGACAAAGUGAGGAGCUACAGUGACGUCCAUUCAACACAUCAGUCCCCGCUUCUCCUCCUCUCUGAAUGAAGGUGUCAAAGUACCAGAAUAAAACUCAAGCUCCUGUGAGAAACUUUCGUCUUGUGUUGAUUUUGGCGCCCUCUUGUGGACAAAGUCAACUCUGCAGUUUUUGUCCACAUCAUGUGUAAUUUGUGAGUCUUUACAAACAUGUCAAAUGUGUCACUAAUCAAACAUGUCAAAAUGUGUCACUAAUGUCAUGUUUUCUGUCUUUCCUGUAAACCCAAACAGACGUGACACCGUCUUAUUUAACAGACGUGGUGUAAAGAGAAACGUCGUCAUUGAAACACGUGUUUUCUCAAAGACUAACAGGGUCGACUUGAGUUCAAACUGAGCCGUUAGGUUUGUCUUAUCUGAAGGCUCUGGGCUUCCCCAAAGGAAUCAGAGGAUGGGGUAAAAAACACGACAAAGAGGAUGAAAAUAACCUCCCACCAUGGGAAGUGAAAGUCUGUUUCAAAACACUCUGGUCUCUCCUCCGCUCCUCCUGCUCCUCUCUGUGAGAGAUCGUCUGGAGAACCACGUGACAGCAGCUUUAUUGGAAGUUUGGGAGGUUUUAGGAUGUCCGAGUCACAACCUAAGAGUCACUGAAUCUGCACAACUAACUACUCAACAUAAAAGAGUCGAGGGGUGACGGCUCUGCGAGGGUCUCUAUGUUCUUCUUUGAGACGUGUCCCGGGUCGUCCUCCGCUGGGCCUCUUGAAUUUCCUUCUUCUUCCCUCUUCUUUUUCUUCUUCUUCCUCUUUUCUGUCACACCCUGUAAAUGUCGAAAUCUUCACUGUCGGGUUUGCUGAGGCUCCGCACACAAUGAGAAACUGUCCCAAAGAAGGAUGAAGAGGAAGAAGAAGAGUUUCAAACAGCACAGUUGGGUUCAGUCCCCUGUUUGAUGACUUUAUCUGCAACAGAACGGUUUAACAUGUUGAGGGAAAGUCGUCCAGAUGCUGGAGAGGAAGGAAGACCCUCAGAAGAGGCGCCAUAGAUUAAAACAGGAGAAAAGAACGAGCAUUAUCACAAGGAACCAUUAGACGUUCUGGAGCCGCGAGUGUCUGCUCCAAACUGGAGGAGAAUCUGUUCUGCUGUGGACUAAAGUUAGACAAAACUUUGGUUAGACAGAGGGGAGAGAGACCAUGGAGUGUGAUAGAAACUUAGAAUUUUAACUAGAGAAAAAUGUCAGUUUAGUAUGAUAAAGAUGUCAUAGUAUAGUGUGAUAAAAAAAUAAUAAUUUUAGCAUUAAAACUAUGUCAUAGUGCAGUAUGCUAAAAUGCCAAAGUAUAAUAUGAUAUCUUACUAAAGUAUGAUAAAAAUGUUACUUUUCGUAUAAAAUGUCAAAGAAUAGUUUGUUAAAAAUGUCAUAACAUAGUAUGAAAAAAAUGUCAAAUUUUAGUUUUAAAAUAAUGUCAUAGUAUAGUUUGAUAAAAACUUCAAAUUUUUUGGAUGAUAAAAACUCUAUUACUAUAGUUUGAUAAAAAAAAACAACUUUAAUUUUAGUAUUAAAACAAUGUCAUAGUAAAGUAUAACAAAAAUGUCAGGAUAGUGUGAUAAAAAUCAAACUUAUUAAUGUAAAAAAAUAAUAUGAUAAAAAAUGUUAUACAAUAGUAUGAUAAAAAGUCACUUUUUUGUAUGAAAUGUCAAAGUAUAGUGUAAUAAAAAUUUCUAAUUUUAAUAUGAAAAUAAUGACAUUGUACAGAAUGUUAAAAAAAUCAGUAUAAUAUGAUAAAAAAUGUUAUACAAUUGUAUAAUAAAAAAUUUAAAUUUUAUUAUUCAAAAAAUGUUACUGUAUAAUGUCAUAUUAUAGAAUGUUAAAAAUUUAGUAUAGUUUUAUUAAAAUUUCAUAUUUUUUUAUGAAAAAAAUUUUCAUAGUUUAGUUUGUUGAAACAUGUUACAGUAUAGUAUGAAAAUAAUCUCAUAGUAGACCAUCCCUACAGAGCUGACUCUGGCUCCAAUCACUGUGUUCUCAUGGUGUCACUAUCUUCAGCGUUCUCCCCUUUAACUGGCCUUCACCCUCUUUGUACUCAGUCUAAACACCUGGACCACAAAGUCUCGUCGACCUCUGAGGAUCAUGUUUCUGUCUUUUAAUCGUCACACACAGAUCCUGGAGUACGAGGAGAACAGCAUCAUCACCCCAUCCUGAUCCUCCUCCUGAAGCAUUUAUGAAAACAUCCUCACUCUGACCCAGCUAUGGAUGACCAACACACAUGCAUGCCUCCAGGCGCACACACACACACACACACGCCUCUACACGGAGCUAUGCAUGCCUAAAUGAGCAUCCUCCUCCAAACACACAACUGCAUAUGUGCCUCCUGUCACUCAUAUAAACAAACGCAUGUAUGCAUGAGCUGACACUGGAACAACAGAGCCGGGAUGGAAUACAUUUGGUUAUAUGCACAUAGAUGUAAACCCCACUCACACACACACACACACACAUGAAUAUGAAGGAUGUGUAUCAGUAGGACCCACUGUAACGCUCAGAAAUGGACACAAACCCACAGAGCUACACACACAGACACACACAGGACCCAAGCUGCCUCGCCUGCUCGGCUGGCUGGAUCUCAUGGUUGCCAUGGUGCCAGUCAGCUGGAGGGAGUGUGAGUGGGCGUCGAGGACGAGGUCUGCCGCUGACUCUUGGCUGGGACACACACACACACACACACACACACACACACACACACACACACACACACACACACACACACACAACAUACAAUCAUGUGCAAAGGUACACACAUGCAGAUUUAGUCGAGCACACACAGACUGGCAGAGUAAUGUACGCAGAUAUAUGAAGGGAUGUAUAAGCAUGUACAUGGCCUGCAUUACACACACACACACACACACACACACACAAACACACACACAAGGAAAAAAUACCAAAUUUAGAGCAACAAGAAGAAACCCUGAACAGGAAGUAUAAAGAGGUAAAAUUAAAGGUUUAUAAUUGGAAUAUUUAUUCUAAUAAAAAGAACGAUUUAAUCCAAUAGAACAACAAUAAUACUGAGUGAACACACACACACACACACACACACACAAAAGGGGUUCAGCGCUCACACCUGCACUGACUGAUGAAGCCGGUUAACCCGGACCGGGCCUCAUGAAGACGGGUCGGCGGGGGAUCAAAGGUUCACACUGUGUGGUAAUAUAUGAGUGGCAUUAAAUGUAAAAGAGAUUAAUGCAAUUUAAUUAAGCUGACACACUUCAAUACACAGGCAGAUGAUGAGCUGAUGUUAAUUAUUCAACGCAAGAGUGCUCAACCAUUAAAGCUGAGGAGUCAUGAGAAAAACCUUUGAUAUUUAAAGACAAUUAAGAGACUUAAAGACGCGUUCAAAUCAAAAAUCAAUCAAAACUGUUUAAAAAAAUACACAUCUUAACCUUCAUGGAGGGGAGACUGGCUGCACUCUGCAUUAACUUUAGUGAUGUGAACCAAAUAAGCAAAAAAAAGUACACAACGGGACCUCAAAUCAAACGAUACGAGGUCACAUGAUUAUUCUGAGAGACGGACAAAAAACAGCUGAAACACACCGUAAUGUUAAGAGAAAUUUCAGUCUUAGAUUUCACAUGAAAACUGGACAUGCGGCGAUGACGGCUGAUAUUCAGGCUUAUUAUCUGUAUUAUCAGGCUUCUAUUAGACAGAUAUGGUCUCCUGUGUCUUCCAGCAUCUGAGUUUGAUAAGAAAAGAAAAAAGAGUUCAAUACUCGUUAUACAACACAAUUAAAAAUCUAAUACACAUGAACACUGCAGAUACUGCUGCCAAUACUGACCCACUGAGCAUUUUUGGUCUUAAAGAGGUUUUAGAUCUGAUGUGUUUUCAUUCAGGAGAGUUUUCAUACGGGGGAGCAGCGUCUGCCUCACAACCAAUCAGGUUAGAGGAGGUGGAGAACGGCUUUGUUUACAGUCAGAAAGAGCGGACCGCUCAAAAAUGUUCAAAUGUUGACGACACAGACAUAAGAG
Molecule: non-coding RNA, 7441 nt
Organism: Xyrichtys novacula (pearly razorfish)
Lineage: Eukaryota; Metazoa; Chordata; Actinopteri; Labriformes; Labridae
Source: the annotation of a GenBank genome assembly